Molecule: ribosomal RNA, 301 nt
Filed under: uncultured bacterium
Lineage: Bacteria
Description: partial 16S ribosomal RNA
Rfam family: Bacterial small subunit ribosomal RNA
Source: RNAcentral
CAGUCGCCGCGGUAAUACGGAGGGUGCAAGCGUUAAUCGGAAUUACUGGGCGUAAAGCGCACGCAGGCGGUCUGACAAGUCAGAUGUGAAAUCCCCGGGCUUAACCUGGGAACUGCAUUUGAAACUGUCAGGCUGGAGUCUUGUAGAGGGGGGUGGAAUUCCAGGUGUAGCGGUGAAAUGCGUAGAGAUCUGGAGGAAUACCGGUGGCGAAGGCGGCCCCCUGGACAAAGACUGACGCUCAGGUGCGAAAGCGUGGGGAGCAAACAGGAUUAGAGACCCGUGUAGUCCCUGUCUCUUAUAC